AAUCAAACUCGGUGAUAGCUGGUUCUCCCCGAAAGCUAUUUAGGUAGCGCCUCGGACGAACACCAUUGGGGGUAGAGCACUGUUUCGGCUAGGGGGUCAUACCGACUUACCAAACCGAUGCAAACUCCGAAUACCGAUGAGUGAUAUCCGGGAGACACACAGUGGGUGCUAACGUCCAUUGUGGAGAGGGAAACAACCCAGACCGCCAGCUAAGGCCCCAAAUUCCUAGUUAAGUGGGAAACGAGGUGGGAAGGCAUAGACAGCUAGGAGGUUGGCUUAGAAGCAGCCAUCCUUUAAAGAAAGCGUAAUAGCUCACUAGUCGAGUCGGCCCGCGCGGAAGAUGUAACGGGGCUCAAACUAGGAGCCGAAGCUGCGGAUUUGAAUUUGUUUUCAAGUGGUAGGGGAGCGUUGUGUAAGCCUGUGAAGGUGUGUCGUAAGGCAUGCUGGAGGUAUCACAAGAGCGAAUGCUGACGUGAGUAACGAUAAUGCGAGUGAAAAGCUCGCACGCCGGAAGAUCAAGGGUUCCAGUCCAACGUUAAUCGGGG
RNAcentral lists this ribosomal RNA (545 nucleotides) under Salinibacterium sp. NSLL35. Its description in RNAcentral is "partial 23S ribosomal RNA". It matches the Rfam family "Bacterial large subunit ribosomal RNA", at positions 831 to 1374 of the family's 2925-position model. Lineage: Bacteria; Bacillati; Actinomycetota; Actinomycetes; Micrococcales; Microbacteriaceae. The record is from RNAcentral.